This 320-nucleotide ribosomal RNA is filed under the name uncultured bacterium. RNAcentral describes it as "partial 16S ribosomal RNA". It matches the Rfam family "Bacterial small subunit ribosomal RNA", at positions 1245 to 1533 of the family's 1533-position model. The record is from RNAcentral.
AGUCGCCACCAGCGAUGGUGAGCUAAUCUCUUAAAGCCCAUCUCAGUUCGGAUUGUAGGCUGCAACUCGCCUGCAUGAAGUCGGAAUCGCUAGUAAUCGCGGAUCAGCACGCCGCGGUGAAUACGUUCCCGGGCCUUGUACACACCGCCCGUCACACCACGAGAGUUUGUAAUACCCAAAGCCGGUGAGCUAACCUUUAGGAGGGAGCCGUCUAAGGGGGGACAGAUGAAUGGGGUGAAAUCCUAACAAGGGAACCGUAAGAGAACGGGCGGUUGGAUCCCCUCCUAAGUAAGAGAACGGGCGGUUGGAUCCCCUCCUAA